Molossus molossus (Pallas's mastiff bat) is the source of this 587-nucleotide long non-coding RNA. RefSeq lists it as uncharacterized. The record is from RefSeq and is a predicted model, not a curated record. The transcript is spliced from 4 exons. NCBI's taxonomy places the organism in Eukaryota, Metazoa, Chordata, Mammalia, Chiroptera, Molossidae.
UAAAAGAGGCAUGACCUCCAUCAACUGACAAGCCUGGCCAUCCCUUUUGACCAGGAGAUCAGAUGUACAUCAAGAUCUUUAGAAGAAAGGUCACAUUAUUACCUCACUGGGAAGAACCAAAACACCUACACUGCCAUCAGAAGAAAUAUCCUCCUUGCCCUGGCUGGUUUGGCUCUGCAGUUAGAGCAUCAGCCUCUGGACUGAAGGUUCACAGGUUGGACAAAGAUCAAACACCCUCUUUUGCCAUUUUACCAACCCUGGCCAUCUUAACUAAUCAAUCUGCUUGUUGGUUGUGUCAACAUCUCAAUAGUGCCAAAGAACCUGAACAAGUUAGUGUUUGUUCUGCUGCUGUGAACACCUGAACUAAGGAGAUGAACAACAAGGUGUGGUAUCUACAACAAGACGAAUGUCAUUCUGUCUCCUCUUCUGUGUAUUAGUUUGUUUUUGUUGAAGCAUCUGUGAUUAAGUUACAGACAUCAUGAUGACAAAUCACCGGCAGCAGAAAUUGGAACAGUGAUCCCUGACAAUAUCCACUAGACUUAGGGGAAAAAAAUAGUCCUGUAUUUCAGAUGGACAUGAACAGGUAA